GAUGAACGCUAGCGGCAGGCCUAAUACAUGCAAGUCGAACGAGAUUAAGAGGCUUGCUUCUUAUGAAAGUGGCGCACGGGUGCGUAACGCGUAUGCAACCUACCUUAAUCAGGGGGAUAGCCCGAAGAAAUUCGGAUUAAGACCGCAUAAAAACACAGGAUAGCAUUAUCCAAUGUUCAAAUAUUUAUAGGAUUAAGAUGGGGAUGCGUGUCAUUAGCUAGUUGGCGGGGUAACGGCCCACCAAGGCGACGAUGACUAGGGGAUCUGAGAGGAUGACCCCCCACACUGGUACUGAGACACGGACCAGACUCCUACGGGAGGCAGCAGUAAGGAAUAUUGGUCAAUGGAGGGAACUCUGAACCAGCCAUGCCGCGUGCAGGAAGACAGCCCUCUGGGUCGUAAACUGCUUUUAUUCGGGAAUAAACCUUUCUACGUGUAGGAAGCUGAAUGUACCGAAGGAAUAAGGAUCGGCUAACUCCGUG
Molecule: ribosomal RNA, 482 nt
Filed under: uncultured bacterium
Lineage: Bacteria
Description: partial 16S ribosomal RNA
Rfam family: Bacterial small subunit ribosomal RNA
Source: RNAcentral